AUACGUAGGGGGCGAGCGUUGUCCGGAAUGAUUGGGCGUAAAGGGCGCGUAGGCGGCCCGGUAAGUCUGGAGUGAAAGUCCUGUUUUUAAGAUGGGAAUUGCUUUGGAUACUGUCGGGCUUGAGUGCAGGAGAGGUAAGUGGAAUUCCCAGUGUAGCGGUGAAAUGCGUAGAGAUUGGGAGGAACACCAGUGGCGAAGGCGACUUACUGGACUGUAACUGACGCUGAGGCGCGAAAGUGUGGGGAGCAAACAGGAUGAGAUACCCUGGUAGUCCACACUGUAAACGAUGAAUGCUAGGUGUAGGGGGUAUCGACCCCUUCUGUGCCGCAGUCAACACAAUAAGCAUUCCGCCUGGGGAGUACGGCCGCAAGGUUGAAACUCAAAUGAAUUGGCGGGG
RNAcentral lists this ribosomal RNA (397 nucleotides) under uncultured bacterium. Its description in RNAcentral is "partial 16S ribosomal RNA". It matches the Rfam family "Bacterial small subunit ribosomal RNA", at positions 523 to 918 of the family's 1533-position model. The record is from RNAcentral.